AACGAACGCUGGCGGCAUGCCUAACACAUGCAAGUCGAACGAGACCUUCGGGUCUAGUGGCGCACGGGUGCGUAACGCGUGGGAACCUGCCCUUAGGUUCGGAAUAACUCCCCGAAAGGGGUGCUAAUACCGGAUAAUGUCUCCGGACCAAAGAUUUAUCGCCUUUGGAUGGGCCCGCGUUGGAUUAGCUAGUUGGUAGGGUAAAAGCCUACCAAGGCGACGAUCCAUAGCUGGUCUGAGAGGAUGAUCAGCCACACUGGGACUGAGACACGGCCCAGACUCCUACGGGAGGCAGCAGUGGGGAAUAUUGGACAAUGGGCGAAAGCCUGAUCCAGCAAUGCCGCGUGAGUGAUGAAGGCCUUAGGGUUGUAAAGCUCUUUUACCCGGGAUGAUAAUGACAGUACCGGGAGAAUAAGCCCCGGCUAACUCCGUG
Molecule: ribosomal RNA, 433 nt
Filed under: uncultured bacterium
Lineage: Bacteria
Description: partial 16S ribosomal RNA
Rfam family: Bacterial small subunit ribosomal RNA
Source: RNAcentral